This 167-nucleotide microRNA precursor is filed under the name Chlamydomonas reinhardtii. Lineage: Eukaryota; Viridiplantae; Chlorophyta; Chlorophyceae; Chlamydomonadales; Chlamydomonadaceae. The record is from RNAcentral.
GCCCACACAAUGGCCACCAGUAGAGCCACGGGCUUGAACACGUGCUGUAUGCCGAAGGUCAGGCAGGUGACGAUGCACGCCCCGGCCCAGCUUAGCCAGCCGCCCUGUGCCCACAAUGCACAACAGCAGGACAAGGACGCCGUGGGUGUGCUGUAGGCUUUGGGGCA